CACGCGUUCCCAUCUCCAUUCCCGUUCGUAGGGUACGAACCGGUAGGAUCGUCCUGACUCUCAUCUAAGGGCAAAGCCCAGAUUUCCACAAUAAUUGUAAAGGGUCACCAACUGAAAUUAACAGAUAACACAUAACAUUUAAGUUUUAAAUGCACAAAAUAACCUUUCAACUAAGCAUGCACCUUAAAAGGAUUUUCCAUAUGCUAAAAGUUCAUAUAAUGCUUGCCAAUUAACAAUGAACUCAAAAUGAAGUUCUCAAACCAUCAAGUAACAAUAAACUCAAAAUGAAGUUCUCAAACCAUCAAGUAAUACAUAACUGACCAAAGCAUUGAUAAAUCAAUUGAGCAAUCGAUUAUCUAACUCAAAAUAAGGACUUUUGUUGAGCCAAUCGAUUGCCAAAUCAAUUUGGUCAGUUCUGCUGAGUUUCUGCAUGACCAAAUCGAUUUCUAAGUCGAUUUUGUCAGUUCUGAUGAGUCCCUGUGUUGCCAAAUCGAUUUCCAAAUCGAUUUGGGCAGUUUUGCUGAGUUCCUGCCUCUCUGCCAAUCGAUUUCCAAAUCGAUUUCUUAAAAGAUUUUGAAAGACAUAUUUAUACAAUCGAUUGGCAAAUCGAUUAGGUCAAAAUGGUGAACUUCCUGCAACUCAUCCAAUCGAUUGGGAAAUCGAUUUCCCUCAUCAUUUUUCCAAAAAUUCAUAACUAACUCAAUCACAUUCAUACAUAAUCUCAAAUCCUAACACUUAGCACUGAUAACGCAAUCGCUACAACAUCAUUAGUUUCGAAAUAGUAUUGCAAGCAAACAUGUUAUCACCAAAUUCCAAAACAUAACACUUAACAUUUAUAACACAAUUAAUACAACAUCAUGGGUUUCAAAAUGGUAUAGCAAUCCAACAUGUUAUCACCAAAUUCCAAAACAUAACACUUAACAUUUAUAACACAAUCAAUACAACAUCAUGGGUUUCAAAAUGGUAUAGCAAUCCAACAUGUUAUCACCAAAUUCCAAAACAUAACACUUAUAACACAAUUACUACACAUACCAAAUGAACCAACAAUUCACAAUUUAACAGGGUGUAGUCUCUCACGGACAAACACCUGUGCAGUCUCUCACGGACAAACACAAUUCCCUCAGGAACGUAACUCGUAAACGUACCACCUAUCACGGGUCAGUACUGUUUACCGAGGUGCCACCUAUCCCGGGUCUGCACAACUUACCAAACGUAAAUCGUAAACGUACUGUCUAUCACGGACCCGUACCGUUUACCAAGGUGCCACCUAUCACGGGUCUGCACGAUUUACCAAAACAUACAUAAGUAAACGAGACAUUAAGAGAUUCCCCAUUCUUAAUUCUCAUCUAACUUAAACCAGGGCGUAGUCUCUCACGGACAAACCCCUGCGCAGUCUCUCACGGACAAACGCAAUUCCCGCAGGAACGUAAAUUGUAAACGUACUACCUAUCCCGGGUCCGUACUGUUUACCGAGGUGCCACCUAUCCCGGGUCAGCACAACUUACCAAAACAUACACGAGUAAACGAGACAUUAAGAGAUUCCCCAUUCUUAAUUCUCAUCUAACUUAAACCAGGGCGUAGUCUCUCACGGACAAACCCCUGCGCAGUCUCUCACGGACAAACGCAAUUCCCGCAGGAACGUAAGUCGUAAACGUACUACCUAUCACGGGUCCGUACCGUUUACCGAGGUGCCACCUAUCCCGGGUCUGCACAACUUACCAAACACAAUUCCCUCAGGAACGUAAGUCGUAAACGUACUACCUAUCACGGGUCCGUACUGUUUACCGAGGUGCCACCUAUCCCGGGUCUGCACAACUUACCAAACACAAUUCCCUCAGGAACGUAAGUCGUAAACGUACUACCUAUCACGGGUCCGUACCGUUUACCGAGGUGCCACCUAUCCCGGGUCAGCACAACUUACCAAAACAUACACGAGUAAACGAGACAUUAAGAGAUUCCCCAUUCUUAAUUCUCAUCUAACUUAAACCAGGGCGUAGUCUCUCACGGACAAACCCCUACGCAGUCUCUCACGGACAAACGCAAUUCCCGCAGGAACGUAAGUCGUAAACGUACUACCUAUCACGGGUCCGUACCGUUUACCGAGGUGCCACCUAUCCCGGGUCAGCACAACUUACCAAAACAUACACGAGUAAACAAGACAUUAAGAGAUUCCCCAUUCUUAACGCCCAGUUAACUUAAACAAUUUUCCAAACAAAAUAAUAAGUAACCGAGACAUUAAGAGAUUCCCCAUUCUUAACGCCCAGUUAACUUAAACGGUUUUCAAAACAAAAUGUUAAGUAACCGAGACAUUAAGAGAUUCCCCAUUCUUAACGCCCAGUUAACUUAAACAAUUUUCCAAACAAAAUAACAAGUAACCGAGACAUUAAGAGAUUCCCCAUUCUCAACGCCCAGUUAACUUAAACAAUUUUCAAAACAAAAUAAUAAGUAACCGAGACAUUAAGAGAUUCCCCAUUCUUAACGCCCAGUUAACUUAAACGAUUUUCAAAACAAAAUAUUAAGUAACCGAGACAUUAAGAGAUUCCCCAUUCUCAACGCCCAGUUAACUUAAACAAUUUUCCAAACAAAAUAAUAAGUAACCGAGACAUUAAGAGAUUCCCCAUUCUUAACGCCCAGUUAACUUAAACGAUUUUUCUUUAAAACAAAAUAUUAAGUAACCGAGACAUUAAGAGAUUCCCCAUUCUUAACGCCCAGUUAACUUAAACGAUUUUUCUUUAAAACAAAAUAUUAAGUAACCGAGACAUUAAGAGAUUCCCCAUUCUUAACGCCCAGUUAACUUAAACGAUUUUCAAAACAAAAUAUUAAGUAACCGAGACAUUAAGAGAUUCCCCAUUCUUAACGCCCAGUUAACUUAAACGAUUUUCAAAACAAAAUAUUAAGUAACCGAGACAUUAAGAGAUUCCCCAUUCUUAACGCCCAGUUAACUUAAACGAUUUUCAAAACAAAAUAUUAAGUAACCGAGACAUUAAGAGAUUCCCCAUUCUUAACGCCCAGUUAACUUAAACGAUUUUUCUUUAAAACAAAAUAUUAAGUAACCGAGACAUUAAGAGAUUCCCCAUUCUUAACGCCCAGUUAACUUAAACGAUUUUUCUUUAAAACAAAAUAUUAAGUAACCGAGACAUUAAGAGAUUCCCCAUUCUUAAUACUCAUUUAACUUAAUGGUUUUCAAAUUCCACACAAAAAAACUCAAACAAAUUCUCACAUUCAAUUCAUAAUUCACACCAAAACACAUCAAUCAACAAACAUCAAGUAUGAACAUGCCAAAUACGAUGAACACAAAUCAACAUAAUAAAUUUCAUUUAUUCAAAAUCUUACAUACAUGAGGUAAAAUCAUUUUUCCCAAAACAAUACUCCAAUCCUAACACAAUUCGUUUCCACACAACCACAGAUAAGGCCCUAGAUGCAAACUAAAAGUUUGGAAGGAGCCCUUACCUUAACGUUAGCUCAAACGUGCGUUUCCGGUACCGUGAGUAAAUCCGGUAAAUUUUCCGCUCGCAACACCGCUUCCAAAACUGGUCCACUAGCGCCGUAGCACGGUAGUGAGCAACUUUCCCUUCUAACUCUUCGCGAAAUGAAGCUUGGAUCUAGAAGAAACGAAGGGGUUUGUGUUUGAAUCUCAAAUACCGUUUUUCUUCGUUUUCGGAUCAAAGAGGAAGAGUGGAGUUGCGAAACCUUUGUUCUAACACUCACCCAACCUUGGGUUACUAGUCUUGAAGAAAAGAAAGCAACGAAAAUGAAAAUGGGAGAAGGAGGGAAAAUGGGUCGCGCACGCAGGGAGAGGAAGAAGAUGAAGUUUUGGAUUUUCUUUCCUUCCUUUUUCCUUUCUUUGUUUUUCCUUCCUUUCUAUUUCCUUCUUUCCUUUAUAUAACCUUUUCUCUUCCUUUUCCUUCCUUCUAAUUUUCUUUCUUUCUAUUCUCUCCAAACAGUUUAUGCAAAUCUACCUUAUGAUAUUUUCUCAUGUUCCUUGGAGGAUGUGGAAUUUCUUGAGGUAGUCCAAAUUGUAGUUUCACUCUAUUAGUUUGAUGCAUUUCUAUUAGGUAGAAACAAAUUAAAUAUGUAGAUGCAUUCCAUAGGCAAUUGUCUUCUGGAUGAUCGUAUGUUAGACCUAGAUAUGGCCUCCAAAUAAACUGAUAUAUAACAAGUUUGUUAGUAAUAUAUGCAUAAGAAAAGUAAAAUAAUAAAAAUAAUGUAAUGUUUUAAUAUAUUACAUCGUUAACGGUCAUGUGAUCAAUUUUUUAUAGAUAUCCAGCGGUAUGAUAACGAGGUGUAUCGCCAAAUUUCAUACCCUUUCCACUAUAUCUACGAAAAUAAAUUUGAAUGUUAGUAAAUAAAUUAAUAUAUUUAUAAAUAUAAUAUUUAACUUUUUUUUAUAUUAACCUUUUUGAGAAUGGAAAAUGAGGCUCAAAAUUACUUAUUGGUGCAAGAAACGGCAUAUGGUACCAUGCCCACGUUUGAAGUAGAUGUGAACAUCCCCGAUCGACAUAACACCGGGUUCAGAUGCACGACACAAUUCUCUAUAAAGUGUUGCCAAGCAUGCUGAACCCCAACUAUAUUGUCCUGUCUCUCGCAAAUCUCUCAACAAGUGCAACCACAUAAUAUGUACUCUGUUGUGAGAUUUGUAAGGCAUUAAUAUGCCGCCAAUCAAUUCUAAAAUGCAUGCUCUACAAUGUGACUUAGAGUUUCUGAGUUUUAUUAUUAUGUAUUUUCUUCAAAGAACACUUACAGGUUUUCUCUGUAUUUCUAGUUUAAGGCUUGGAUACUCAUUAUGGUUUGUUUAAGGUGUUCUGGCUUGGAUACUCACAAUUUUUUUUCAACUGUGAUUAAAAUUUAAUUUUAAUUACAUUGCAUCUAAUCUUAAUAAUUUGGUUUCUAAUUUAAAAUGUAUUCUAUGUGCAGGUUUAUGGCUGAAAUUAAUUUUAUUUGUGAGUUGAAGUGAUAUGGAGUACCAUUGAAGGCUUAAAUCUUGUUAUGUUGAUUUAUGGUCUCAUAAAUUAAUUUUACAUCUUUUUGAUUAUUAAACUCCAAAAUAUUAUUAACUUUGGCUUAAAAACCUCCGAGCCAAAAUCCAAAAUACACCAAAAAUACAUAAAUGGUACUUUAAAAUUAUGGGUCUUACAUUACUCCCCCCCUAAAAUUAGUUUCGUCCUCGAAACUAUGCAUCGAUAAAUAACUCUGGGUGUUGUUCUCUCAUCUUGCUCUCCAAUUCCCAAGUCGCAUCUCCAGUGAUUGGGUUCCAAAUAACCUUGACCAACGAAACAUCCUUGGUCCUCAACCGCUUAAUCUUCCUAUCAUCAAUUCUCACGGGUGGUACUUCGAACGACAGGUUAUCCUUUAGCUGGAUUGCGUCUGGUUCGAUCACGUGAGAUGGAUCUGCGAGAUAUUUCCUCAACUGUGACACAUGAAACACGUCAUGAAUAUUGGACAGUAUCGGAGGUAAUGCAAUGCGAUAAGCCACCGGCCCAAUUCGUGCAGAAAUCUGAUAUGGUCCAAUGAAUUUCGGAGUCAACUUCUUCGAUUUCAAGGCUCUACCUACUCCAGUAGUAGGUGUGACUCUCAGAAAUACAUGGUCACCCUGUUCGAAUUCCAAAAGUCUGCGACGCUUGUCCACGUAACUCUUCUGACGAUCUUGUGAAGUCUUCAUUUUCUCCUUGAUCUUCCUUACUUUAAUUGUGGUAUGUUGCACCAUCUCUGGUCCGACAAUCAUAUUCUCACCGUCUUUAUACCAACACAAGGGCGUUUGACACUUGCGCCCAUAUAAAGCUUCAUAUGGUGCCAUUCCAAUACUUGCGUGGAAACUAUUGUUGUAAGUGAACUCAAUCAACGGAAGUACAUCAUCCCAGCUUCCCCUAUCAUCUAAUACACAUGCUCUCAACAGAUCUUCCAAGGACUGAUUCGUCCUUUCAGUCUGUCCGUCCGUUUGUGGAUGGUAAGCUGAACUCAAUCGUAGCUUCGUUCCCAACGCUUCGUGCAAUGCUCCCCAAAAAUGCGAUGUGAACUUCGGAUCACGGUCUGAUACAAUGCUCGAUGGUACCCCGUGUAACCUCACAAUUUCAGCAAUGUAGAUCUCCGUUAGCUGAUCUACCUUAUAGGUGGUCCUUACCGGCAAAAAGUGAGCAGAUUUAGUCAGCCGGUCCACUAUCACCCAUAUAGAAUCAUUCUUCCUCCUUGUCUUCGGUAAUCCGGUUAUAAAAUCCAUGGAAAUGCUGUCCCACUUCCAUUCAGGUAUAUCUAAAGGUUGCAACAUUCCAGCAGGUCGCUGAUGUUCCACCUUCGCUUUCUGACAAGUUAGACAAGUGGAUACAUAUUCCGCCACAUGUUUCUUCAUUCCUGGCCACCAAUAAUUCUGCCUCAAAUCCUGAUACAUCUUUGUUGCUCCAGGAUGAAUACUCAGCUUACUCUUAUGCGCCUCUUCUAAAAUCGUUUUCCGCAUAUCUGUAAUGGCUGGUACACAAAUCCUACCAUUACACCGCAAAACAUUAUCUGCCCCAAUCUUGAACUCAGUCGUCUUCCCUUGUACUAUUAGAUUCCUCUUCUCUUGAAUUAAGACGUCAUCCUGAGAAUUCGCAAUGUCUUCAAGUAAUCCACUCGAGAUCUUAAUCAUUCCGAAUUUCAAAAUUCCCGGUCCGAACUCUACGUUCAAGUGUAGGUCUCUAAAAGCCUCCUGGUUCGGGGAAAAGAACCAAUUUCCGAGCACAAUCCAAGAUCACAUAGUGAUAAGACAUCCAAUCCAUACCGAGGAUGACCUCGAGUGAUUGUAGCGGUAAACAAAUUAGAUUAACCAAGAAAUCCCUAUUCUGAAUAGUCAUUCGACAAUGUAAACAUGCUGAAUUUACGGUUAAGGUCUUAGCAGGCGUGGAAACAACCAAAUCAAAAGGUAAAGCAGACACAGAUAACUUCAAGCGAUUCACACAGUCCAUAGCAAUGAAGGAAUGGGUUGCCCCCGAAUCAAAGAGUGCAGUUAGAGUGUUACCUGCAAUCUCACAAUCACGCUGAAUCAGAUUACCAGAUGGAUUUCCCUCUUCAGCAUUCACACAAUAAAUGCGUCCUCUAGCAGUAGGACGGGUAGCCCUAGCUACAUUCACCACUGGUUCCACCUUUGGAGCCGUGCACUCCCUUGCCAUGUGCCCCGACUUCUGACAAUUGUGACAGAUGGGGAUGUUAGUGGUACAAGCACUAGCAUAGUGUCCUUCUUUCCCACAUCGGAAACAUCGAAGCACUUGCCCCAUUUGCCUUCCGAAAUUCUGGUUCCCUGGGCGACUCGGUCCACCGUUGUUAUUCUGGGGGCGAUUAUAAGGUUUAGCCACUUGUUUUCCCCUAUUCUGAUAAGUCGCCCGACUAGGGCCUCCCGAAUUAAAAUUCCCAACUCGGCUAGCCCUCUUGUUCUUCAUAUCUUCCACUUCUCUACAUUUCUCUACCAGCGCUUGGAAACGUUGAAUUCCCAAAGGUAAGACGGAAUCUUGAAUCUCAUACUUCAAUCCGUCUUGGAAACGAUGACACAUGAACGGUUCAUCAAUUUCUUCACGGAAGAACCUGAAAUGCCUCGAUAGUGAUUCAAAUUUAGCAGCAUACUCGCCCACAGUCAGGCUCCCCUGGUGAAGUUUCAGAAAGUCGUCACCCAACUUAGUCCUGGUACUCAUCGGAAAGUAUUUGUCUAAAAACUUUCUUUUGAACGAUUCCCAGUUCACCUCCUCGUGGGCUGCUCCCAUCAACAACCUUGCACUCCUCCACCAGUAUUCAGCAUCCCCUAGCAACAUAUACGUGGCAUAGCUGACCUUCACUCCAGCCUGGCAGUUAAUCAUAUCAAAGAUUUUCUCCACUUCUUGGAUCCAUUGAUCCGCCUUCUCUGAACCCUCAUCCCCCUUGAACUUAGGAGGAUUGUAACGACGGAAGUCUUCCAACCCUCUUGAUUCUGCAGCACGGAUCUCUCUUCCCCUCUUUUCAAGAUCCCGUUGAGUCUUGGCAGCGGUCUGUGCAGCGACAGAAGCAGCCAUGUUGUUCAUAGCCUCCGCCAUUUGGUCAUUCCUAGCGUUGGCUCUCGGAGCGUCAUUCCUUCUGGGCGGCAUGGUUUCCUAUAAGAACCAUCAUCAAGUAGAGUUUUAACACUACUUCAAAUAAUUCUAAACUAACGUCCGACUAACAACACACAAUUAAAUUGGACUUGACAACUCAAGUCACCUAAACCGACACAUGAUCAGAUAACAACUCCUAACUUAUAGGUCGACCUACAAUCUAUAACCAAGGUUCCACAGCUCCCAAAGAAAACUAAACCUAUGCUCUGAUACCACAAUGUAACACCCCGUUUUUCAAAGCGAGGGUAUAUUUUUUUUUUUCUAAAAGUAAUUAAAACGAACAAAGAAUAAAUCAGGAAAUGCUUUUGGAUAAAUAAUUGAGUCAUUAUAAUUUACGCAGCGGAAAAGUUUCUCCAAUUAUAAAUCCAAAACAUUUUUACAUAAACAUCAAAUGGUACAUGGGACCCAUUCAAAGAUGAUAUAAAACUGAUAAUAUUUGUAUAAGUACAGUUUUCCAAAACUAAAAUACUCCAAACCAAAAAGAAGGACCCCUAGUCCCUAUACAUCAUCCUAAUCUGAUCAUCCUACCAAAAACUAUACACCCUGAGUAAUCUCCACGCGCCCCGUGAGAUCCUCCUAACACAACAGCAGUCAAGCGUUCCCAUCUCCAUCCCUGUCCGUAGGGUACGAACCAGUAGGGCCGUCCUGACUCUCAUCUGAGGGCAAAGCCCAGAUUUCCACAAUAGUGUAAAGGGUCACCAACCAGAAAAUAACAGUUAACACAUAGCAAUUAAGUUUUUGAAUGCUCAAAACAACUUUUUAACUAAGCAUGCACCUUAACAGGAUUUUCAAUGUGCGAAAAGUUCAUACAUUACAUUGCCAAUGAAAAUGAAGGUAAAAUGCAGUUCUCGAUCUCCUAAUUAACACAUGGUAAAACAAAACAUGGAUAGAUUCAUGAGCAAUUAAUCAUACAACUAAAAAUGAGGAUUUUCACUGAGCCAAUCGAUUGGGCAAUCGAUUGGGGUGAAGAUUUUUAAUGAAAACAGAAUCCUGGGCUGAAUUCAAUCGAUUGGUAAAUCGAUUGAUUGGUUCCUGAGCCCCUGGUUUCGAGCCAAUCGAUUUCCUAAUCGAUUUGGUGAGGGAUUCUUAAUGAAAACAGAAUCCUGGGCUGAAUUCAAUCGAUUGGUAAAUCGAUUGAUUGGUUCCUGAGCCCCUGACUUAAGGCCUAAUCGAUUGGGCAAUCGAUUUCUUAACUGAUUCCUUUGAAAAUUGUUUUCGAAAUCGAUUGGCUAAUCGAUUUUGUUCAUUUGGCCAAGCCCCUGACUUCCAUCCAAUCGAUUGGGAAAUCGAUUUCCCUGAUCAGUUUUCCAAAAAUUCAUGAAUUAACCUAAGUCAUUCCUAAUCAAGUUCACCACUUAACACUUAGCAAUUUCUACGCGAUUACUACGACACACAAAGGUUCGAUAACCAUCAUACUCACACACAAUACACAACACAUAGCACUUAACACCUUCAUCUCAGUUAUCACGAUAAAUCAAAAUUCGAAUCACUCAAUCAUAAACUCAAAUCAAACAUGACUCGCGUGCCAGGCACCCUAAUGCAAUGCGUAUAUGCCAAAAUGCAUGGACUCGGAAUUCCAAACCAAAACCCUCCUCGAAGGGCCGUAAAUCAUAAUUGUACCGCCUAUCGCAGGCCAAAGUACCAAUUACCGAGGUGCCACCUAUCACGGGUCAGCACGAUUUACUAAAAUGCGUAAAUCAUAAACGUACCACCUAUCACGGGUCAGUACAGUUUACCGAGGUGUCACCUAUCACGGGUCAACACGAUUUACUAAAAGAAAAAGCGGGAAUCGUAAAUGUACCACCUAUCACGGGUCAGUACAGUUACCAUGGUGUCACCUAUCACGGGUCAACACGAUUUACUAAAAGAAAAAGCGGGAAUCGUAAAUGUACCACCUAUCACGGGUCAGUACAGUUUACCAAGGUGUCACCUAUCACGGGUCAACACGAUUUACUAAAAUGUAAAUCGCAAACGUACAACCUAUCACGGGUCCGUACAGUUUACCAAGGUGUCACCUAUCACGGGUCAACACGAUUUACUAAAAUGUAAAUCGCAAACGUACAACCUAUCACGGGUCCGUACAGUUUACCAAGGUGUCACCUAUCACGGGUCGACACAAUUUACCAAAUGAAAUGCAUGAGCAUACACAGACUCCAUUCACAACAAUCGUUAAGCAAAUGCAGAUAUUAAAAGAUUCCCCAUUUUUAAUACCCAUUUAACUUAAACGACUUUCAAACAACAUUAAUUAAAUAAGUCAUUAAGAGAUUCCCCGUUCUUAAUACCGAUUUAUCUUAAUGAUUUUCAAAACAAAACGUUAAGCAAACAGUCAUAUUAAGAGAUUCCCCAUUCUUAAUAUACUUUUGACUUAAACGAUUUUCACACAAAAUAUUCAGUAAACGAGUCAUUAAGAGAUUCCCCAUUCUUAACACUCAUUUACCGGAACGAUUUUCAAAAACGAUCGUUAAGUAACCGGGACAUUAAGAGAUUCCCCAUUCUCAACGCCCAGUUAACUUAAACCUUUUCCUCAAAUGCACAUUAAGUAAACCGAGGUAUUAAAAGAUUCCCCAUUUUUAAUACUCGUUUAACUCUAAUGGUUUUCAAAUUCCACGGAAACAAACUCAAACAUACUCUCACAUUCAAACCAUAAUUCACAACAACCACACCAAUUAACAAACAUCAAGUAUGGACACGCCAAAUACAACGAACACAAAUCAAAGCCAACAUAACACCCAGAUACAUCAAAUUUCAUUUACCCAUAAUCAUACACAAUGACAUUCAAAUUCAUUUACCACGAAACAUUCAUCACUAUAAACAAAACCUAACUCUAAGGUUUUUACCCAUAACGCACUAGUUUCGUUUUUCCCCAAAUCGAUACAUUUAACCCUAACAAAUUCCUUCCCACACAACCACAGAUAAGUCCCUAAUGCAACUAGAAGUUUGGAAGGUGCCCUUACCUCAAUGUUAGCUUUAUCGUGCGUUUCCGGUACCGCGAGUAAUUCCGGUAAAAUCUCCGCUCGCAACGCCGCUUCCAAAUUAGUUCCCUAGCACCGUAGCGUGGUGGUGAGCAACUUUCCCUUCUAUCUCUUCGAGAAAUGAGGUUUGGAUCUAGGAGAAACGGAGGGGUUUGUGUUUGGAUCUCAAAAACCGUUUUUCUUCGUUUUCGAAUCAAAGAGGAAGAGUGGAGUUGCGAAAACCUUGAUCUAACUCUCACCCAACCUUGGGUUACUAGUUUUGAAGAAAAGAAAGCGACGAAAAUGAAAACGGGAGAAAGUAGAAAAAUAGGUCACGGUUAGAGGAAGAAGAUGGAAUUUUUCGUUUUCCUUCCUUUCUUUUUCUUUCCUUUGUUUUUCCUUUCUUCCUUUUUCCUUCCUUCCUUUUAUACUAUUUUCUUUUCCUUUUCCUUCCUUCUAGUUUUCCUUUCUUCUAGUUUUCCUUUCUUUUUCCCUCCAAACAAACAUAAAUAGAUAAUAAAUAUAACUUAACAAAUAUCUCAAAAUACCUAGACAUUUGUUAAAUUACCGUUUCACCCGAAACGCAUUAAAUUCUCCGUAAAGGAUUCACCGCACUUAAUUUAAAUUUAUUUAUCGACGAGAAAUUUUAAUUGGCAUCAAAACAUCUUUUUGAUUAUUAAACUCCAAAAUAUUAUUAACUUUGGCUUAAAAACCUCCGAGCCAAAAUCCAAAAUACACCAAAAACACAUAAAUGGUACUUUAAAAUUAUGGGUCUUACAGCCUACAUCAGGUCUAUGUCAGAUCAGGCUUUCUUUUUAAACAGAGAAGGUCAAGGCUUCUAAAAAAGCCUAUUUAAUUAAAAAGGUUUGGCUAUAGGCCACAUAAUAAACCUUUUACGCCGACCUAUUUAAAUAAAUAUAAAUAAUAUUUUUUUACCACUAUGAUUAUUAUAUUAAAUUUUGAUAUUUGUGUUAUAUAUAUUCAACUUUUAGUAAUUUACACAUAUUAACCUUAUUUAGUUUUUGGCAUAUUUAAAUGUAUUAUUAUAAAAUAUAAUUUAAGCAGGAUGUAUAUAUAGUCACAUUCUUCAAAAUGUGAUGUUAAAUAUCAAAAUAGAACUUAAUUUCAUUGACAUAUUAACUCAUUAAUCUAUUUAAAUAUAUGUUUGAUUACUUAUUCAAAAAUAUUAAAAUGAAAUAAGCAUUUAAGUAGGCUAAGAGACCAUAUCAGACUUCUAUCAAGGUCAGACUAAGGCCUAAAAAGUAAGCCUAUGACAGGACACACGCCAAGCGUAGGGCUUGAAUUUUUUGACAUGUCAGGCUUAUGCUUAGCAAAGCCUAACUCGACCCAGCCUAUUCCCACCCCUACUUGUACUAGUUCCAGUGAAGAGGCCAUAGAGCAAAAGCUUAAGCCAUUAUCCUUUCUCAUUUCAAAGUUAUUAUUUGGGAGGGGAGAAGCUCUCAACCAUGAUUCAUAUGAAAAAAUCUUUUUCUUCAAUCACUUCAAAACCUUCCCCAUCAUUUGUCACAGUUUCAUCACAGUCCCGGAGUUGGUGCCCAAUUCUCCCACAUAAAAAAAUCAGAAAUUGGGUCUGAUGUUUAGGUCUGAAGACUAGGUCUAAAGAUUGCCUCUAAAGAAUGGCUCUAAAACUGAGUCUAAAAACUGCCUCUGAAGAUUGAAUUUAAAGCAUGCCUCUAAAGCUCUUGCAUAUCUCUGAUGUACACAAACUUAGCAUAUACCUAAAGAGUUCAUAUCAAGGUAUAAUUAACUCUGAAGAUAUUAUUCAAAUCAUAAAGUCAAAGUUCACAAUCCGCUGAUCAAAAUGGUGCAACACACUCCAAAUGCUGCCUCUGAUAAGCAGCCUCUAAUGUUGCACCGACUCUGAAGUUUCAACAAGGUGAUUUUCCUAAUGUCACUAACUCUAAGUCAUGCAAUUCUACCUUUGAGUAUCUUUAUUCAAGAAACACGACAUCUAACUCAAACAAGAGAGUCAGUGCCUAUGCUGAAAAGUCAACGACUGAAAUUGAAAUAAUUAAGUAUGAAAAAAAAAAAUUAGCCGACUCCAAAACUUGUGAAUAUCCAAGAACAACCCGAAUCCAUUUCAGCUCAAAUCAAGAAAGAGUAUGAAAGAAGACUCGUGUUUUGAAAGACAAUCUAAAAUAAUAUUUGAUUUAGAUUUAUAAUUGAAGAAAAUAUUUGACCAAGUUGAAAAGAAUAUAUGAUAAAGAUUUGAAGAUGAUAUGAUUCAUAUCUUAUCAACAAAAGAUAUGAAUUAUUUACAAGAACAUUUGAUCAAGAUUUAUCACAAGAAGAUAUGAAUUAUUUAAAAGAAGAUCUGAUCAAGAUUUAUCACAAGAAGAUAUAAAUUAUUUACAGUAAUAUUUUAUCAAAAUUUAUCUACAAGAAGAUAUGAAUUAUUUACAAGAAGAUUUGAUCAAGAUUUAUCUACUAGAAGAUAUGAAUUAUUUACAAGAAGAGUUUAUCAUAAUCUACAAGAAUAUUUGAAUUAUUUACAAGAAGAUAUGAUCAAAAAUUAUUUAGAAAAAGAAACACUCAUAUAUAUUUGGCUUAAUUGCAGUUUUGGUCCCCCUAUUUUAGCUAAAUCGCGAAAGUAGUCCCUCCAUUUUGUUUCUCCCCAGUUUUGGUCCCCCAAACAGAAUUUUGGUCCAAAACUUGAUGAAAUUUCAUUUUUUUAAAGCCGUACUAUAUCAUUUAUGAUCAUAGAUAUCAUAUACAAUUGUUGCAAAUGAGAUCUUGAGGCAUGGUGUGACUUAAAUAAAUACAAAAAAAAAAUGAAAUUUCAUCAAAUUUUGGACCAAAAUUAUGUUUGAGGGACCAAAACUGGGGAGAAAUAAAAUGGGGGGACUACUUUCGCGAUUUAGCUAAAAUAGGGGGGACCAAAACUGCAAUUAAGCCUAUAUAUUUUUAUUAUUUGCAAAGAUAUGAUUCAAAUUUUGCAAAGACGGAUGAAAACCUCUAACUUAUUUUAUAAAUAGAUACACAAGGCUGAAGAACAAAAUAAGAUAACUUACGAGCACAAAAUUUACUAAGUCAUUAGAGUUCAUAAAGUUAAGAUCUAGAGAAACAUUUGCUCAAAAGAUAUAUUUUCUAAGUGUUUUCUAGUGUGAGAGUAAUUGUUACAACCAACUUGUUAGAAGCAAACAAAUUUGUUCCCAACUCUUGUAACCAUGUCUGAAUUUUGUGUUCCUCGAGAAAUUUGUAGAUUUUCAAGUUGUGAUGAGAAAAUUUGGUUUGUAGAAUCAAAGUGUUUGUUUUUCGUAGGUGACAAAUUAUUUUGAGAAUAUUGAUUUGUAGAGUCAGGUGUUGUGUAAUUCAAGUUUUGAAUUAGUGGAUUAAAUCAUGAAAGGACUAAACGUAGCUACUAAAUUGGUGGUGAAUCAGGAUAAAUUAUUGUAUCACUUUAAUUAUGUAAUUUUUGUUUUAUUUUUGUCUCUCAUCACUUAACUCAAUUGCUACUACUUUUAUUUUAAGUCACCAAACUCGAGUCAAUUUUAAAUAAAUUAACAAAAACAAUCAAACUUAGUCAAAACCAAUUCAAUUCUCUUUUCAUAUUUGCAGCUUUAGUAACCUUUGGAUCUGCUGCCUCAAAUUCUCCCAUGAUUGCCCCCAGUUUUUUUGCCAUGAACUCACUACGGAGUUUCAAGGGAAGGUCGCACACUCUUGUCCAGAAUGAGAUCGAACUCGUAUCCAUUUCAGACUACGAUGUUACGAUCAAAACUCCAUGGACCAGCCUUAAUCACAUUUUCUAAAUCUCGUAUUGAAAAAAAAACAAAAGAGAUACAGGUUCUUACCGAGUUCCUGAGUCUCUAUUAGGUUCUUAGGUCUCCAAAAUUCCACAAUCUUAGUUUUGAAAUCUCAGACAUUAUAACUGCUGUUAGUCCACAACUUUCCAACAGGGGAUCUUCUAAAGAAAUCCUCUUCCAUAUGUUCUUCAUCUUCCUCUGUAACCCCAAUCACGCCAUCUUCGAACCUAACAGCUUAAGACUCUUACGAAGACAAAAUUCAAAAUCCUGGAGAGCGCAGGGAGCUUCCAGGAUGAAACCUAGGGUAAGAUCCAAGAAAGGAAGUCUUUUUUAAUGUUGACUCUUGUUCAUUUAUAUAGCUUAUAUUUAAUUGCAAGUGAUAUCUUAAGUUUUUAGACUGUAACUAUCAUAUUGGUUAUUUGUACAUAGCUCUUUAUUUUCUAAUUUAUGGUGCCGUAUUUCAAAUUAGUAAGAAA
RNAcentral lists this long non-coding RNA (15278 nucleotides) under Cicer arietinum (chickpea). Its description in RNAcentral is "long non-coding RNA (CARI_LNC003044)". Lineage: Eukaryota; Viridiplantae; Streptophyta; Magnoliopsida; Fabales; Fabaceae. The record is from RNAcentral.